Molecule: RNA transcript, 1411 nt
Organism: Ooceraea biroi (clonal raider ant)
Lineage: Eukaryota; Metazoa; Arthropoda; Insecta; Hymenoptera; Formicidae
Gene: Atg10
Gene name: Autophagy-related 10
Source: RefSeq, a predicted model, not a curated record
CCGGACCGAGAAAGGUGCACACACUCGACUCUGGCGUCGCUCUCUCGCUGCCUCUCUCUUUCUCUCCCCGUCUCUGUUUCGUCCCUUUCGCUCGCUCCACGCCGAAAGGAAUCGCGGGAGGAUUUAAGCCGCACUCGCGUCCACGUCGAUGGACGGUCCGGGCACGGUCACAUGGGAGGAAUUCCUCGAGAAUGCAGAGAGGUUCCUCGCCGUUUCUAACGAGAUAUCGGACGGAUGGGAGUUACGCGGGGACAAGGGUAUUCCUGGACAGGCGUAUCUGGUCAGAACAGCCAAGCGGUUCGUACCGAGCGACCGUACUGCGGGAAAUGGCGGAACAACGACCGGCGACCACGACGACGACGUCGAGGAGUUUAACGUGGAAUUCCAGAUAGACCCGCACGAAGCUCCUUCCACAAACGAUGUCCCACUCAUCGGCGAGCACCAUAUUUUAUGGUCGCUGGUUUACAGCGUCCCGGUCCUCUUUUUCAAUGGCUGGAAGUCAGAUUUCCCCGGCAUUAAUCCAGUGAGCGUGAACGAGGCGCGAAUGGUCCAUGCUUCCAAAUUGAAUUACAUGGAAUUAUCGCAAGCGAUUCACCCUAUCACCGGCGUACCGUUCUUGCAAUUACACCCGUGCCUGUCGCAGGAAUUGCUGCGAAGCAUGUCGAAGAGCAAGAAUAAACUCGUCAGUUGGCUGAGCUGCGUGGCAUCCGCGGCUCUAAAUCUCAAAAUACAUCCGGAUUAUUACAAGCUGACUUACUAGAGGCUGAAGUCAUCUCUAACACGUACGCCCACGAAAUCGUUGAAACUAAUCACAAACACCUUGGCGAGAAGCGUGUCUCGGCUGAAUGGAGCUCGCGGCUCGAGGUCCAGCGCUCAUCGAGGAGGACGAUCGCGCCGAUCUUUGUAUGUAGAUCACGCACGAGGGCCAGCGCGAACAGCGACUUCCCAUUUAUCAAGCUCGGCCGACGCUCAUUAAUGUUGACCGUGUAUUUCCGUUAGCGCGGCCUGAAAGAUCGGGCCGUUGCCGUUAGGGGGAAAAAACAGCGCGAUCCCUCCUUCAUGCGGCCGCUAAACGAAUGAGUAAUUGAGCGGCCGUUCUCGCGCUAUGUGCCAGUUUACGUCAACGUUCGUAACUUUGGCGUGUACGUCCUCGGGGAAUCUUCUCGCUGACCCUUCAACUAGCAUCAAGCUUAAUUGCCGCUCCAAAAUGACGAGCGGCCAAAUUGAAACGCACGACACCUGCUUGUAAUGGUUAGUCAUGAACGACAGUACGCCGACAAGAUUCUUUGCGACGAGAGCAUCCUUGCUACGUUUUUUCUUGUAAGAUCUGGAAAGAUAGUCGAGACUGACAGGUCGUAUAGAGGAUCGGAAUGAAAACAAGUUGAUCACAACAGUAGGAGUAUUGGCCGUA